This is a long non-coding RNA of Conger conger (European conger), 1957 nucleotides long. RefSeq lists it as uncharacterized. The transcript is spliced from 5 exons. NCBI's taxonomy places the organism in Eukaryota, Metazoa, Chordata, Actinopteri, Anguilliformes, Congridae. The record is from RefSeq and is a predicted model, not a curated record.
CCUGAUUCAAGUCUGGAGCCAUUUUCACUCAAAACCCAGCAGAUAUGUUCUUGUACAACAUGGAUCUAACCUGCACAGGUCGAGAGAAAGUUCCAGCAAAACUCAAACAACAGAAUAUGAAAACAUAAUUUAUUUUUUAAAUAAACAAAAAUGGACAGACAGAAAAUGCCAACACCACUGCAAUGGAGUUGACUGCCAGAAGAGAGGAGCAAAGAAAAAAUUACGAUCAAAUGAAUUCCGGAAAUUACAAGAGGGAUACCGGAAAGGGAGGGUCAAUCAGGAGGAAGGACUACGGUACAGUUUGAACUUAUACGCACACGUGCAGCCCGAAGGACACGCGGUCAGACUUUUCAGCUCGAGUAGGAAACAACUAAAGGUCAGUAUAACAUUUUACUCCGCAUUGCUUCACUUUUAUAGGAGACAAAGCAACUGCAUAGCAUCCUAUGACAGUGAUUUUUGGCAUUCUGGAAAGCUAAUGUAUACAGUAUACGUAAUGUUCUGAGGAGGGCAAAAUCAUCCAUUGUUCCGUCGCCAUUUUCAAACUCAGAGAAGAAACGCCAAUACGCUAGUUCUGAGUUCAAUCUGUGUGGUAUGAACACAUGGAAAAACUACCUUCCAUAGAUGCAGUUCUUGAGACGCGAUGACAUUUAUUUUUACUUUUAAGUGUAAUGUGAUUGGGAGCAAACACAUUUACAGAACAGAUACAUGUAACAUAAAAAAAUGAAAAGAUGGAUUCCAUCACAAAUAACCUUGCUCAUAGAAAGCUUUGUGCUUUCACUCAACUAAUUAUGUACAAAUUAUCUAUUUUUUAACAGGAAGAUGUGGCUCGUAUUGUUUCUCGUGCUUUGUGGAGGUAUUGCUGAUUCAGAUUUGUAAGAUUUAGAGUGACUGGAUGUUAACCAAGUUAACCUUUUCUAAACUCUUCAUACAACUCUCUACACUGGCAUGCACAGUACACCAAAACUACCAAAAGACUGCAAACAAGUCUGAAAAUAAAAUCUGUCUACCCACUUGUUUGGUGGUUGAGCCUGAGUGAGAAACUGAUUAAAAAAAUUUUUUUCACAGUUUGGUCCACAUAGACUGCUGUUAUGCUAACUGUGUGGAGAGUUGUAACUCAGUAUCAAAACAAUGCUUGUGUGCAAUUAUAACAAAAAUGUAAUACAUAAAUGAGACAGGUCACCUAUGAAUUACAUUUGAAUUACUGUAAUUGAUAAACUAGGUAGUAUGCUUAUGAGACAUUACCUUUGAUUAUGAGAAACCAGGGGAACCUUAAGCCUAUGCAAAUUCAGUUUUAUUUAAUUUAUGCUAUAUCUUCUGAUGGAAUUGCACAAUACAAUACAGCCCUUGAUAAAAAGGACUAAAAUGGCCACAUUUUAUGCUCGAAAAAUGGGAAACAACAUCUUUCAUAAAAUUGCUUAGAAAACAUUUUUGAACAAUACAUUGUGUAGGUGUGUAUGUGUGUGUAUUUGUUUGUGUGUGUGUGUGUGUGUGUGUGUGUGUGUGUGUGUAUGUAUGUUAACCUUGUUUUCCUGUAUUUCAGCUACAGACCCUAAGACCUGUCUAAAGAAAUGUGAAUGUGCUGUAGCUGAGUGUUUUCAAAUUAUGGGUCCAGCAACCCCUGUUUGCACCUCCACUAAGCCAACAGAACACUGCAGUAUUAAUGGAAGCUACAUCACUCAGCCAUGUGAUGAACAAUUAUACUGCAAAGGCAUUGGCCAACAGCCAUGUCACUGCACAGAUGUUCCUGCAAAAGAUCAAAACGGUGAACCAACUGAAGUGAAAGCCGGCACCUCCAGGAUCAAACCAUCUGGCCUGCUAGUGCUCCUGGUGCUGCUUUUUGCUCGUUUUGGAUAUAUCUGGACACAGUGAGAUGAGAGUAUGCGAGUAUGCUGCACCGACUGUCUGAUUGUCCUGUGCAGAAGACUGGGAAAAAUAAACUUUAAUGUUUAAUGUUAAA